ACCAUCAACAAACCUGGUUGACAACAUGCAAGAAACCGAUGACGUUGGCUCUGAUCAUGAAUCAUCAGGCAUUGUGGUUGGAUCAUCAGCUGUUGGCGACAUCGAUUCUUAUUGCAUGGAACUAAUUGGGCAAAAUGCCAUCACAACAUUGAGCAUUGUUUGUUUUCUUCUGCGUGAUUAUUCUUUGAAGGAAAAGACAUUUCUGAGUAAAAAGUUUGUUUUAGUAACAAGGAGACCACACAAAUUUUCAUGUGGAACAAAAUGGUGCUAUGCAUGCUCUUGUAAUAAAAGGAUCACAGAGUUCUUGACAU
Molecule: long non-coding RNA, 311 nt
Organism: Dendronephthya gigantea
Lineage: Eukaryota; Metazoa; Cnidaria; Anthozoa; Malacalcyonacea; Nephtheidae
Exons: 3
Source: RefSeq, a predicted model, not a curated record